UGUGGCCUACGGGGCGCAGCAGUGGGGAAUAUUGGGCAAUGGGCGCAAGCCUGACCCAGCGACGCCGCGUGAGGGAAGACGGUCUUCGGAUUGUAAACCUCUUUCAGCAGGGAAGACAAAAGGACGGUACCUGCAGAAGAAGCCACGGCUAACUACGUGCCAGCAGCCGCGGUAAUACGUAGGUGGCAAGCGUUAUCCGGAAUUACUGGGUGUAAAGGGUGUGUAGGCGGGGGUGCAAGUCAGAUGUGAAAAUUAUGGGCUCAACCCGUAAAC
This 273-nucleotide ribosomal RNA is filed under the name uncultured bacterium. Its description in RNAcentral is "partial 16S ribosomal RNA". It matches the Rfam family "Bacterial small subunit ribosomal RNA", at positions 333 to 621 of the family's 1533-position model. The record is from RNAcentral.